This 490-nucleotide ribosomal RNA is filed under the name uncultured archaeon. Its description in RNAcentral is "bacterial SSU rRNA". It matches the Rfam family "Archaeal small subunit ribosomal RNA", at positions 163 to 656 of the family's 1478-position model. The record is from RNAcentral.
AAGAUUUCUGGAAUGGAUCGUGUCUUAAAUCUACAUGGCCCCUGGAUUGGACUGCGGCCGAUCAGGCUGUUGGUGAGGUAAUGGCCCACCAAACCUAUAACCGGUACGGGCUCUGAGAGGAGAAGCCCGGAGAUGGGCACUGAGACAAGGGCCCAGGCCCUAUGGGGCGCAGCAGGCGCGAAACCUCUGCAAUGGGCGAAAGCCUGACAGGGUUACUCUGAGUGAUUUCCGCUAAGGAGAUCUUUUGGCAGCUCUAAAAAUGGUGCAGAAUAAGGGGUGGGCAAGUCUGGUGUCAGCCGCCGCGGUAAUACCAGCACCCCGAGUGGUCGGGACGAUUAUUGGGCCUAAAGCAUCCGUAGCCGGUCGUGCAAGUCCUCCGUUAAAUCCAGCCGCUCAACGGAUGGGCUGCGGAGGAUACUACAGGACUAGGAGGCGGGAGAGGCAAGCGGUACUUAGUGGGUAGGGGUAAAAUCCUUUGAUCCAUUGAAGA